This 883-nucleotide ribosomal RNA is filed under the name Sphaerodes retispora var. retispora. RNAcentral's name for it is "LSU rRNA". It matches the Rfam family "Eukaryotic large subunit ribosomal RNA", at positions 51 to 966 of the family's 3401-position model. The record is from RNAcentral. Lineage: Eukaryota; Fungi; Ascomycota; Sordariomycetes; Coronophorales; Ceratostomataceae.
CCGGGAAGCAGAACCACAGGGAUUGCCCCAGUAACGGCGAGUGAAGCGGCAACAGCUCAAAUUUGAAAUCUGGCCCCUAGGGUCCGAGUUGUAAUUUGUAGAGGAUGCUUUUGGUGAGGUGCCGCCCGAGUUCCCUGGAACGGGACGCCACAGAGGGUGAGAGCCCCGUCUGGCUGGCCGCCGAGCCUCUGUAAAGCUCCUUCGACGAGUCGAGUAGUUUGGGAAUGCUGCUCAAAAUGGGAGGUAUAUGUCUUCUAAAGCUAAAUAUUGGCCAGAGACCGAUAGCGCACAAGUAGAGUGAUCGAAAGAUGAAAAGCACCUUGAAAAGAGGGUUAAAUAGUACGUGAAAUUGUUGAAAGGGAAGCGCUUGUGACCAGACUUGGGCGCGGCGGAUCAUCCGGGGUUCUCUCCGGUGCACUUCGCCGCGUCUAGGCCAGCAUCAGUUCGUCGCGGGGGAAAAAGGCUUCGGGAACGUGGCUCCUCCGGGAGUGUUAUAGCCCGUUGCAUAAUACCCUGCGGUGGACUGAGGACCGCGCAUCUGCAAGGAUGCUGGCGUAAUGGUCACCAGCGACCCGUCUUGAAACACGGACCAAGGAGUCGUCUUCGUAUGCGAGUGUUCGGGUGUCAAACCCCUACGCGUAAUGAAAGUGAACGCAGGUGAGAGCUUCGGCGCAUCAUCGACCGAUCCUGAUGUUCUCGGAUGGAUUUGAGUAAGAGCAUACGGGGCCGGACCCGAAAGAAGGUGAACUAUGCCUGUAUAGGGUGAAGCCAGAGGAAACUCUGGUGGAGGCUCGCAGCGGUUCUGACGUGCAAAUCGAUCGUCAAAUAUGGGCAUGGGGGCGAAAGACUAAUCGAACCUUCUAGUAGCUGGUUUCCGCCGAGU